AUAUACCGCGUGAGGGAUAGCAGUAAGCUACCCUGCCUGGCCGAUAGGCAGGCAUGUAGCACGAAUAGCCCGACCGAAG
RNAcentral lists this small RNA (79 nucleotides) under Aquimarina sp. MAR_2010_214. RNAcentral describes it as "Flavo-1 RNA". The record is from RNAcentral. Lineage: Bacteria; Pseudomonadati; Bacteroidota; Flavobacteriia; Flavobacteriales; Flavobacteriaceae.